UAUGAAGGCUGCACCGCCAACAGGCGGCAAGGCUGGAGUAUUUUAUUACCCUUGUCUUUUGCGCACUUGUUGUUUCCUGGGCGGGUUCGCCCGCCUCCAGGACCACAUGAUAAACCUUUUUUAUGCAGUUGCAAUCAGCGUCAGUACAACAAAUGUAAAUCAUUUACAACUUUCAACAACGGAUCUCUUGGUUCUGGCAUCGAUGAAGAACGCAGCGAAAUGCGAUACGUAGUGUGAAUUGCAGAAUUCAGUGAAUCAUCGAAUCUUUGAACGCACAUUGCGCCCUUUGGUAUUCCAAAGGGCAUGCCUGUUCGAGCGUCAUUUGUACCCUCAAGCUUUGCUUGGUGUUGGGCGUUUUUUGUCUUUGGUUUUGUCCAAAGACUCGCCUUAAAACGAUUGGCAGCCGGCCUACUGGUUUCGCAGCGCAGCACAUUUUUGCGCUUGCAAUCAGCAAAAGAGGACGGCACUCCAUCAAGACUCUAUAUCACUUUUGACCUCGGAUCAGGUAGGGAUACCCGCUGAACUUAAGCAUAUCAAUAAGCGGAAGAA
RNAcentral lists this ribosomal RNA (549 nucleotides) under fungal endophyte. RNAcentral describes it as "eukaryotic LSU rRNA". The stretch from base 168 to 321 matches the Rfam family "5.8S ribosomal RNA". Lineage: Eukaryota; Fungi. The record is from RNAcentral.